Molecule: ribosomal RNA, 432 nt
Filed under: uncultured bacterium
Lineage: Bacteria
Description: bacterial SSU rRNA
Rfam family: Bacterial small subunit ribosomal RNA
Source: RNAcentral
GAUGAACGCUGGCGGCGUGCCUAACACAUGCAAGUCGAGCGAUUUACUUCGGUAAAGAGCGGCGGACGGGUGAGUAACGCGUGGGUAACCUGCCCUGUACACACGGAUAACAUACCGAAAGGUAUGCCAAUACGAGAUAAUAUACUUUUAUCGCAUGGUAGAAGUAUCAAAGCUUUUGCGGUACAGGAUGGACCCGCGUCUGAUUAGCUAGUUGGUAAGGUAACGGCUUACCAAGGCGACGAUCAGUAGCCGACCUGAGAGGGUGAUCGGCCACAUUGGAACUGAGACACGGUCCAAACUCCUACGGGAGGCAGCAGUGGGGAAUAUUGCACAAUGGGCGAAAGCCUGAUGCAGCAACGCCGCGUGAGCGAUGAAGGCCUGGGUCGUAAGCUCUGUCCUCAAGGAAGAUAAUGACGGUACUUGAGGAGGAAG